RNAcentral lists this ribosomal RNA (478 nucleotides) under uncultured bacterium. Its description in RNAcentral is "partial 16S ribosomal RNA". It matches the Rfam family "Bacterial small subunit ribosomal RNA", at positions 28 to 523 of the family's 1533-position model. The record is from RNAcentral.
GACGAACGCUGGCGGCGUGCUUAACACAUGCAAGUCGAACGGUAAGGCCCUUCGGGGUACACGAGUGGCGAACGGGUGAGUAACACGUGGGUGAUCUGACCUGCACUUCGGGAUAAGCCUGGGAAACUGGGUUUAAUACCGGAUAGGACUCUGGGAUGGAUGUCCUGGGGUGGAAAGCUUUUGCGGUGUGGGAUGGGCCCGCGGCCUAUCAGCUUGUUGGUGGGGUGGUGGCCUACCAAGGCGACGACCGGUAGCCGGCCUGAGAGGGUGACCGGCCACACUGGGACUGAGAUACGGCCCAGACUCCUACGGGAGGCAGCAGUGGGGAAUAUUGCACAAUGGGCGCAAGCCUGAUGCAGCGACGCCGCGUGAGGGAUGACGGCCUUCGGGUUGUAAACCUCUUUCAGCACCGACGAAGCGCAAGUGACGGUAGGUGCAGAAGAAGGACCGGCCAACUACGUGCCAGCCGCCGCAGUAA